RNAcentral lists this non-coding RNA (153 nucleotides) under Methylovirgula ligni. RNAcentral's name for it is "Beijerinckiaceae bacterium BW863 6S / SsrS RNA". It matches the Rfam family "6S / SsrS RNA". From Rfam's summary of the family: E. coli 6S RNA was the first non coding RNA to be sequenced, but its function was unknown until recently. It consists of 184 nucleotides that fold into an extended hairpin structure with a large single-stranded internal bulge. Lineage: Bacteria; Pseudomonadati; Pseudomonadota; Alphaproteobacteria; Hyphomicrobiales; Beijerinckiaceae. The record is from Rfam by way of RNAcentral.
GCGGAGCUGCGGGGUGCGUGAGGAUCAUAUUCCCCGGGGCCUUAUUGAUCUCGACGGGAGCUGUCCCUGUCUUAGCCCGUGGGCUAGGGUACACGGCGCCCACCUACUUUGUAGGUUCCCGGGAUCGAAUCCCACGGCCAUCGUGGCCCCGCG